CACGCCGUAAACGAUGGGUACUGGGUGUAGGGGGUGUUGACACCUUCUGUGCCGCAGCGAACGCGUUAAGUACCCCGCCUGGGGAGUACGGCCGCAAGGCUGAAACUCAAAGGAAUUGACGGGGGCCCGCACAAGCGGUGGAGCAUGUGGUUUAAUUCGACGCUACGCGAAGAACCUUACCGGGGUUUGACAUCACCUUGCAAUCUGUGGAAACACAGAGUUCUCUUCGGAGACGAGGUGACAGGUGG
RNAcentral lists this ribosomal RNA (248 nucleotides) under uncultured Clostridia bacterium. RNAcentral's name for it is "partial 16S ribosomal RNA". It matches the Rfam family "Bacterial small subunit ribosomal RNA", at positions 796 to 1041 of the family's 1533-position model. Lineage: Bacteria; Bacillati; Bacillota; Clostridia. The record is from RNAcentral.